Molecule: long non-coding RNA, 540 nt
Filed under: Drosophila guanche
Lineage: Eukaryota; Metazoa; Arthropoda; Insecta; Diptera; Drosophilidae
Source: RNAcentral
ACUGGGUGUGUGUGUGUGUGUGUGUGUGCCAGUCAGGCCAUGUUGCUGCCUGAUUAAAUUGAAUUUCAUAUGCAAAAGGUGAAACUCAAUCAAGAAAACAUAAAGGGCACACACACGGCCGGCCCAACAUACUUGUACCUGUGUGUGUGUGUGUGUGUCUCGGCUUAACCAAAGCCAAUGGCAAGGAUUUUGCGGCUUUUGUGAUAUGUGAUACGUGUUUCGCCCUUCCCGAUCCCGCACAACCUUUGAGCUUGAAAAUUAAUAGCAAAAUAACGAAAAAUGUAAAAUUGUGGCAUUGGCCAUGAGAAAAUUGAAUGACUUAUCAGCUGGGCUAGUCAGGCUGCAGGACCAGUACUCAGUCGGAAGCAGAGAAUGACUCGGGGUCGGCCUCCACCUCCACCUAAACCUCCACCUCUGGCUCUGGCUCAACUCCUCCUCGACUGUUAAAGUACUUAAAAGUAAGAGGCUUUGGCUGACUGGCUCUCUGCCUGGUUUGCUGGUUUUAUGUUCAUGACCCUGGCAUAGGUGAUAAUUUCAUUU